AGAGAGAGACAUGCGCGCAUAUCAAUAAGCGGAGGAAAAGAAACUAACAAGGAUUCCCUUAGUAACGGCGAGUGAAGCGGGAAGAGCUCAAAUUUGAAAUCUUCAAGGUUUUACCUUGACGAAUUGUAGUUUAAAGAAGUGUUUUCUGCUGAAGUUUUGGUAAAAGUUCUUUGGAAUAGGACAUCAUAGAGGGUGAGAAUCCCGUAUUUGACCAUUAUUUUCAGCUUUGUGAUACACUUUCAAAGAGUCGGAUUGUUUGGGAAUGCAGUCCAAAGUGGGUGGUAAAUUUCAUCUAAAGCUAAAUAUUGGCGAGAGACCGAUAGCGAACAAGUACCGUGAGGGAAAGAUGAAAAGAACUUUGAAAAGAGAGUUAAACAGUACGUGAAAUUGUCAAAAGGGAAGCGUUUGACACCAGUGUUGUUUUCUCGAAAAUCAAUUAAAAAUGGCUCGAUUUUGUAUUGUUCGAGACCUUAAAAGCUCACUGUACAUUUUUCGUGUCUUUUUUAAUGCACUUUUCGUUUAACAAGUCAACAUCAGUUUCUUUUGUUGUAAAAGGGUCAUUGGAAGGUGGCUUUCUUUUCGGAGAAAGUGUUUAUAGCCCUUGGCCUCUGCAAUCCGGAGAGACUGAGGUCUGCAGCGUAGACUCUUCGGGGUUAGAUACAUUUGUGCUAAGUUAUAGCUUUUUAUAGACAACUUGUUGACUAUAAUUAGUCUUGUAGCUUACUCGCUUAUGCUAUUUUACCUACGCUUAGGAUGUUGAAGAUGUAGCACAUCAU
Molecule: ribosomal RNA, 776 nt
Filed under: uncultured Neocallimastigales
Lineage: Eukaryota; Fungi; Neocallimastigomycota; Neocallimastigomycetes; Neocallimastigales
Description: partial large subunit ribosomal RNA
Rfam family: Eukaryotic large subunit ribosomal RNA
Source: RNAcentral